ACACUUACUUGUAGAGAUUCUU
RNAcentral lists this microRNA (22 nucleotides) under Rattus norvegicus (Norway rat). Its description in RNAcentral is "Rno-Mir-216-P2a_3p* (star (passenger))". Lineage: Eukaryota; Metazoa; Chordata; Mammalia; Rodentia; Muridae. The record is from RNAcentral.